AAUUCUCAACCUCUCUAGCUUUGUAAAAGUCUGGCUAGGUUGGAUUUUGGAAGUUGCUGGCUUCAAGAAAUCAGCUCUUCUUAAAUGCAUCAGCAGAACCUUUACUGAUGAUCUUUGGUAUGAUAAUUAUCUAUACCAUAGUACUUCAGUGUCUUCUAUUGAAGGGGUUGUGCUUAAAAUCGUCUAUAUCAGACAAUUUUGAUAAU
RNAcentral lists this unclassified non-coding RNA (206 nucleotides) under uncultured Entoloma. RNAcentral's name for it is "sequence contains ITS2". Lineage: Eukaryota; Fungi; Basidiomycota; Agaricomycetes; Agaricales; Entolomataceae. The record is from RNAcentral.